RNAcentral lists this ribosomal RNA (253 nucleotides) under uncultured bacterium. RNAcentral's name for it is "partial 16S ribosomal RNA". It matches the Rfam family "Bacterial small subunit ribosomal RNA", at positions 524 to 776 of the family's 1533-position model. The record is from RNAcentral.
UACGUAGGGUGCGAGCGUUGUCCGGAAUUAUUGGGCGUAAAGAGCUCGUAGGCGGUUAGUCGCGUCUGCUGUGAAAACUCGGGGCUUAACUCCGGGCCUGCAGUGGGUACGGGCUGACUAGAGUGCGGUAGGGGAGACUGGAAUUCCUGGUGUAGCGGUGAAAUGCGCAGAUAUCAGGAGGAACACCGGUGGCGAAGGCGGGUCUCUGGGCCGUAACUGACGCUGAGGAGCGAAAGCGUGGGGAGCGAACAGG